AGCAUUCCUUUAUUUUCCAUUGGUCCCUCCCCCCCACUGGCCUGGUUUUUGUCAUUCUUCUGUGGCCAGUCCUUUCUUUCUCCCUUCAUAACUUAGAUUUCUCCUCCUUCAUUCCUUCCUGAGUACUUCAUGCUCCCAACAUUUUAGGCCACAAUUUUCCUACCAUUAGUUGUCUUUCACAGCGUUCAUUUACUACUAAUUCCAUGUAGGUGAGUCCCAAAUCCAAUCCCUUUCAUCUUCACUUUCUCCAGCCUAUUCACUAUAGUUUCUGUGCAAUUCAUUCUGAUACCCUGUCUUGAAUUCAGUAGAUUACAAAAUAACUCUCCUCUGCAAAUUCCCUACUUUUGAAUUCUUAUUUUACCUGCAUGGGCUCAAAAAUUAUCCUUUCCUCUCCCUUGUCUUCAUCCAUCAGAGUCCUCAAGUCUUUUCAUUUCAUCCAUGCCACCCUUUGGCUUCCCACUCUUCAUGCUCACUCCUAUUCUAAACCCUCUUCCAGACUCUGCUCCAGACCUUCCCUUCUCCAGGAAAACUUUCCUUGAACCCCUCUGGCAGCUGGUUGAAACCACAGCAUGCGCUUACCACACCACUUUGUCAUUAUUGACAUGAACUUGAGGGACAAGAACUGUGUCUUGCUCAUAUACUCCUAUCCAGUAAGUGUGUACUAUUCAUUAUGUAUGUAAUAUAUGCUUUUUCUUGCCAAAAUUUUGAACUUUAAUCCGUUAUUGAUUGCUUGCAUUUCUGUAUUUUUUCCUAUUAACAAUAUCAGUUAUAGUCAUAGUAGACUUCAGAAUGGGAGAAUAUCCUUAAACCUCUUAAGGAAUAUGUUGCAGUUUCUUCUUAGGUUUGUGGAUUUGGACAGGCCAAAGGAAAAUCAAAGCUUAUGCUUGUAAUGUCCAUACUCUUUAACAGCCAUUGACUAUAACCAUCUCUUUAUUACCCCUACAGAAGGGGGGCCGUAUAGGAAAUUGGAUUGGAUUAGGAGGUGGGCUGGGAUUGUGUUAGGUCCUAUCCUAGAUCAAUAAAAACACUUGUUUUUUCCUGAGCCUCACAAGCACUAGGCAUUUGCUCGACUACUUAAGCAUCAUCCUCAGCCCAGAUGGAUCUUCUUUGACAAGCAUCCAGGUCAUUUUAACAGGAAGCCAGGUUAAGAAUGCUUGACCUCAGUCAAAGCUAAAGGCCUUCCCAGUUCAAACCUUUCAUCAACCUUAAUCCACAUGGAAAUACCUUCUGCGGUGUCUUCAAGACACAAAAUGUUGACAAAAGCCUAAUGAGGCUGGCGUGGGAACAAGUAUGAAUCAUGUAGGUAUAGAGCACUUCUGACUUCAACCUAUUAACAUGGACAGACUCAUAAAAAUAUAACACUCAGCUCAAAAAUCAAAGAAUGCCCCCCAAAUAUGAAAACUACAUUAAGGAGUCAGAAAAUACAGUUCUUUCUAUCAAGAUGUUCUCUGUGAACUUCUUAAGAUACAGAAUAGUCUUCAAGAUAACUCAGAGCCUUGAGAAAAACACACUGGCAAUCCUUUAUCCUCAUUUUCUUCCCAUGCCCUUUUUUUCUUUCUUACCCUCUGAUAUCCCCAGAAAAACAAUAUGGACAUCAGUUACCCUUCUGAAGAAAUGACUAGAAAUUUUAACCAUCAUUUAUCUAGAUCAUCAGGACAAAAUAAUUCUUUGAAAUUUCUGAAAACAGGAUAUUGACAGUCUUUUUAUUAUUAUUUUUUGUUUUCUUUAUUAUAGAGUAAAUAUGAUACAAUGGAUAGCUUUAGAACAAGCUAACAUUUUUUAUGAUCCAGGCAGAUGCAACUGGUGCAGUUCAGUAGUACACAAAUGACUCAAACAAAUGCACUGAAGGCCAGAAACUUAGGUUACAAAAUCUAGUCACUAUCACAAUUAGUACAGCGAGUACAGAUAGUACAUUGCUCUCAGGUUCUGCCUGCUUAAAAAAAAACAAACCAUCAACUUUAUACAAUGACUGAAUUAUACACUUCUACUCAAGUCCUUACAAACAGACAUAAUCCUAAGAAGGUAUGGUCACAUUUUGGUUUCACUCCAGUGGUCGUACACAAUCGUAUGAAAUGUUCCAUCGUUUUUGUGGGAGAUAAACUUUUGGCUGAAAUAAAAUAGCU
Molecule: long non-coding RNA, 2123 nt
Organism: Perognathus longimembris pacificus (Pacific pocket mouse)
Lineage: Eukaryota; Metazoa; Chordata; Mammalia; Rodentia; Heteromyidae
Exons: 2
Source: RefSeq, a predicted model, not a curated record